This 508-nucleotide ribosomal RNA is filed under the name uncultured Methanolinea sp. Its description in RNAcentral is "bacterial SSU rRNA". It matches the Rfam family "Archaeal small subunit ribosomal RNA", at positions 347 to 859 of the family's 1478-position model. Lineage: Archaea; Methanobacteriati; Methanobacteriota; Methanomicrobia; Methanomicrobiales; Methanoregulaceae. The record is from RNAcentral.
ACUUUACAAUGCGGGAAACCGUGAUAAGGGAACCCCGAGUGCCCGUAAAUUCGGGCUGUCCAUCAGCGUAAAUAACUGGUGAAGAAAGGGCCGGGCAAGACCGGUGCCAGCCGCCGCGGUAAUACCGGCGGCUCGAGUGGUGGCCACUAUUAUUGGGCUUAAAGCGUCCGUAGCUUGGUUGUUAAGUCUCUUGGGAAAUCUACCGGCUCAACCGGUAGGCGUUCAGGAGAUACUGGCAAUCUAGGGACCGGGAGAGGUGAGAGGUACUCCAGGGGUAGGAGUGAAAUCCUGUAAUCCUUGGGGGACCACCUGUGGCGAAGGCGUCUCACUAGAACGGCUCCGACAGUGAGGGACGAAAGCUGGGGGAGCAAACCGGAUUAGAUACCCGGGUAGUCCCAGCUGUAAACGAUGCGCGUUAGGUGUAUCGGUGACCACGAGUCACCGAGGUGCCGAAGGGAAACCGUGAAACGUGCCGCCUGGGAAGUACGGUCGCAAGGCUGAAACUUAA